Molecule: ribosomal RNA, 409 nt
Filed under: Pseudomonas sp. BAKZL1112
Lineage: Bacteria; Pseudomonadati; Pseudomonadota; Gammaproteobacteria; Pseudomonadales; Pseudomonadaceae
Description: partial 16S ribosomal RNA
Source: RNAcentral
CUUGGGCGAAUUCUGCAGAUAUCCAUCACACUGGCGGCCGCUCGAGCAUGCAUCUAGAGGGCCCAAUUCGCCCUAUAGUGAGUCGUAUUACAAUUCACUGGCCGUCGUUUUACAACGUCGUGACUGGGAAAACCCUGGCGUUACCCAACUUAAUCGCCUUGCAGCACAUCCCCCUUUCGCCAGCUGGCGUAAUAGCGAAGAGGCCCGCACCGAUCGCCCUUCCCAACAGUUGCGCAGCCUGAAUGGCGAAUGGACGCGCCCUGUAGCGGCGCAUUAAGCGCGGCGGGUGUGGUGGUUACGCGCAGCGUGACCGCUACACUUGCCAGCGCCCUAGCGCCCGCUCCUUUCGCUUUCUUCCCUUCCUUUCUCGCCACGUUCGCCGGCUUUCCCCGUCAAGCUCUAAAUCGGG